RNAcentral lists this long non-coding RNA (39726 nucleotides) under Setaria viridis. Its description in RNAcentral is "long non-coding RNA (SVIR_LNC004046)". The record is from RNAcentral. Lineage: Eukaryota; Viridiplantae; Streptophyta; Magnoliopsida; Poales; Poaceae.
GUAACAACACCAGGAAUAGAUCUAAUCGGCUAUGUAUAAAAUAAGUAAAUUAAAUAGCAAAAUAUAAGGAAAGCCGAAACUGCCGAUUCCUAGCUGGAUAACUGGUGAUAAAACUAGAAAGACAGGUAAAACCUAUGAUUCUAGUAAAUAUCGAUAACUGGUGAAUAAAUCUAAACGAAACAACAGCGAUGCGCCCGAAGUUAAGGCUUAGAAUUUACUCGGUAAACAGAACUUACAAGAUCGGCUGGAGAUCAAGUCGAUGCAGCCCUGCCGACCUGUACGAACUCGUGAAAAAGGAGAAAGUAUUUGGCGAAGUCGCCUGCUUGAAAGUAAGUACGAGGAAAUAGUAACUUGUUGUAUUGAGUAGUUGAUGAUUACAGAUCUACAAAGGUAGCUAUUUAUAGCCCCGUACAGAUGACUUCUUAACCGACUAGAACUCUAUCUCUAAUUCAAAUAGAAAAGGAAUAUUUACAAUCACGAUUCGUACUAGGUUGGUUAUUAUACGCUUCAUGGGCCGCCCCUUCAUCCUUCUAUUCCUCUUCAGGCCCAUACCGACCCAAUUACUCCAACCUCCUAAUCGGCCGAUUCCUCAUCGGCAAAAGGUAACCGAUCGGGAACCUGGCGUGUCCGAUCCGAACCCCAAGGGUUAAGCGAAGCAGAAGUCAUCGACCGAUCCCGCACUGUAGCAUCUAGCCGAUCUUGGACUUUAGCGCCAACGAACCGAUCUCGAACUGUAGCGCCAUUCAGCCGAUUUCCAACUGUAUUUUUCCAUUUCCUCUUUUCCUGACGCCGAUUUCAAUUGUGACGAAAUCUGGCGUCAACACGAUCACAUAAGUCUGAUCGGCCGGUUGCCAUAGACUUCAAGAGGAUCACCAUCUCCUGGUCAGCUGAAUAGUCAAAUUGACUGGCACGCCCGCGCACACCACGCACGCCGAUUUACAGGACCUGCAUCGGAAUGAAGCAAAUCUCCCAGACCUUUCGUGUGUUAGUACGCGAAGGUUACCGUCCGAUUUUUUGCAUCAACAGGAACAUAUGUAGCAAUCACUGAGCUGAGUAGGGAUGGCAAAAAACAAUCAAGCCUGUUCCACAAACGUGUUCAUCAGAACGAAUUCUCAGCCCGUGGCCCUGUGCCUCGUGUUCUCGCUAUGCCCAAAUAUAUAGACUUAUGAUAAUAUACACGUGUAUACUGUCAAUUAUAUUACUUAUUUUUCUUAUCUAUAUGAACUCAAUCAUUACUCAAAUUUAGGACCCUAUUGCACUAGUGUAACAUGCAAAAUCCCACGCAUGAUAUAGUACCAGGUAGUAAACCGCCCCUAACCGCUAUCACCACGUACUCCCUCCAUUCUGAUAGUACUAUUUCUUCUUGGCACAAUGAUCAAGGAAAAUAAUCGUACCUAUCAUCCUACUUAUCAUCCAUUUUAUCAUGCCAUUAACUAGUCAUCGUAAACAAAUAAUUCAUUAAGACCUAGACUUCUUGAUGCCCAUGUAGCAAAUCUUGGCUGGAAGAAUGAAGAGUCACGCAUCGGACCCGAGGCAACCAUUAAAUGGGUAGAUAGUUGGAUUGAAAUAAAACUAUCAAAAGAAAUUUUUUCAGAUUUGAAAAUAUGCGCAAAUAGAGGGUGUACAAUGUUUUCAUGCAUCCCAUCGGAAAUGUCCGCACUCUCGUUGUAUUCAUACCACUAGUUUUAGGGUGGAUGACGAGUAGUUUGUGCGUCAUUAUUCCAGUGAUUGCUUCGUUUGCUUGCUAAGGACAUGUGAAAAUCAGAUGUUCUGGCCAACCUUAUAUAGUUGGGUUGUCGGCACUUCGCUAUAAGAGCGUACAUGUCAUAUGUAGAAUAUAUGAAGUAUCAUAUAAACAGUAAUAUAAUAAUUGCAUAAAUAUGAGUAAAAUGGCGAUAAUUGCCUGACUAGCUCUUAAAUAUGAGUUAGAUCUGUUCUCUCUCUCUAGGAAAAAUAUUGACAUAGUAUUUCGUAACUAGUUGAAGCUAGUUCUUACUCGACCAAGGCUAAUAAUUGUGGCCUUGAAUUCAAGAGAUGUAUAUAACUGCAAGGCACAGAUUUGAAAGAUAUAGUCGAUUUAUCGCUGUCUAGUACAUCACAAAUCAGGACCGCAACAACUUUGGAAGAAUGGAUGAUGGAGAUUAGAGAUAUCUGCGAUAUGCGGAAGAGAAUGGCGGGUAAAGGCAGACCUUCUCGCAUCUUCGAAGAGCACGCAGCGGCGGCCACCACUUCCAGGGAUUUCAUCGCUCUCCCUCCGUUCUCUCUCUCUAUAUGACGUAAUUUCAAUAGUAGAGAAACCAGCAUUAUUACUGGUAGAGAAAUGAGUAUUAAAACCUCGUAUAUCUCGUUUUUUCCAACCGGGACUAAAGGAAUUUGCGCAAAAAAUAUCAGAAAUUCCCAGAAGGCUCCACAAGUCACGCGAUUUUUCAUACAAAAUAUGUGCGUGCGCGGUACGUGUGAUUCGAACCACGAUCUCAAGCCUCGUGCAUAGCUUCCUUACCAUCUCACCUACGCAGCACAUCUAAUUGAGUAGGAGAUGCAAUCCUUUUGUAGUAACUUGUGGGGCCCCCUUAGUCCCGGUUGGUAACACCAACCGGGACUAAAGGUCACCCUAUUACCAACUGGGACUAAAGCCGUCGGAGACUUUAGUCUGAGUUUGUAAUAUCAACCGGGACUAAAGGUAUCUCUACGGAUGAGCUUUUUAUUGAGGAUCACUUUUAGUCCCGAGUCCAAAAGCAAUCGAGAUUUUUGUUGAGGAUGAAAGGUCUUUUUUCUACCUGUAUUUCCUUGUUUCCAAGUAAUCAACAGUGGCUAUUUCUUCUCCAAUCGCUUCGUCGUAGAAAAUGAUCCUAGGUGAGAUCAUGUCAUUUAGCCGGUGUAUGAUCGCGAUACUAAAUUGCCGUGCUAUCGUUAUGUACCACUAGUUCGGGGCGGGUGAUGAGUGGUUUGGGUGGCACACUGGGUGGCCCCAAUCAAUAAGCUAGGAUUCCUCAUCUGAUGAGACGAGCAUUAGAAACUAGAGAGGCAACUUCGUUCCAGUGACUGCUUUGUUUUCUUGCCAAGAGAUUGUGAAAUGGGCAGUUCAUGCCGGCCUUACAUAUAGUUGGAUUGUUGGCACUUAGCAACAAGCAUACACUGCUGGGGAAUCCACCUUUAGUACCAAUUCCAAACUCCCCUUUAGUACCAGUUGUGCAACUAGUACUGCUAUAUCGGUACUAAAGGGUGGUCCUUUAGUACCGGGUCAAAUAACCGGUACUAAAGGGGUAUUAAAAAACUAAAAAAGAAAUCCGCUGACCGGAGCCCCGGCCGCAACCCGCCACCGUCCGCCUGAGCGUCGGAGCCCCAGCAGCACCCCGUCGCCGUCCACCCGAGCGCUAGAGCUCCGACGGCAGAGCACUUGAGCCCCGCACCGAAGAGAGAGAGAGAGAGCCACCCUUCCUCCUCAUCACCGUCGGCCGCCCUUCCUCCUCGUCAACCGAGCCUGGUCCCGGCCCUCGUCCCCGCCACCUCGCCUCCUUGCAACCCCCUGCCGGCCCCCUCGCCUGGCCAGCCGCCCUCGCGACGCGCUCUGCUGGCCCCCUCGCUCUGCUAGCCACCCUCGCCCAGAGAGAGAGGUGAGACCACGCACCUCGUCCUGCCACACCAUCACCCUUUAGAUCCCGUUGCCCCCGCAGCACCUCCACGCUCUCCCACCAUGCCAGCCUGCAGAUCCCGCUGCUCCACGCGCCAUCGCCCGCUACUGCUCCACGCACCAUCGCCCGCUGUAGCUCCUUGCACUAUCGCCCGCCACUCCGCCUCUAUGCUCCCCCACCGUCGUGCUAUCGCCUCACCUCGCCCCGCCACCGCUCCUCACAAGUCUCGCGGUGAGGGGCUCGCGAAGGGGAGAGGGGAGGGGAGGGGUGUGCCUGGAAGAAUGGGAGGAAGAGAAGUGAGGCUGCCAUGAGGGGAGAAGGGAGAGAGGAGGGUCGUUCGGGAGAGGGAGGCGUGUGGAUAAGACGGUGAGAAGCAGACGCGUACGAUGGACUUCAAUCUAGUGAAGUCCAAAUUAGUACCGGGUGGAGGCUUAGUACCGGGUGAAGCCUCCACCCGGUACUAAAAUCCCUCAGGCACAUUAGUACCGGGUGGUGGCUUCAAGCGGUACUAAUGUGCUUUUAGUACCAGGUGGAGGCUUCACCAGGUACUAAUGUGCAACCUUUAGUACCGCAUGAAGCCUCCACCCGGUACUAAAGGGGUUCACGGGAGCCUCAUCGGGGACUAGCCGUUAGGUUCGGUACUAAUGCUCACAUUAGUACCGGGUCAAAAUGCAACUGGUACUGAGUCUCGUUACGAAUGCUCAGUUUUACAAUAGUGAUGCAUGUCAUAUGUAGUCGUCAUUAAAACUAUUCAUCUAAAAUGAUUUAUCUAUAGUCUCAUUAAAAUGCUUGCAUAUGUAUGAGUAAAAUGGUGAUAAUCGCAUUGUUUUUUGUUCGAUUAGUUCUUAAACAUGAGUUAUAUUAGCUGUGUUAUCUCUGUACGUAGGACAAAUAUUGGCAUAUACUAUCAUGUAACUCGUUGAAGCUUCUCCAUCUCAGACGCCCUUGAACUGUUAAAAAAAAUCGUGGUCUUGAAUUCGACAGAUGUUGCGGCAUCACAUCAGUGAAGCUGAAAUUCACGUGCAGUAGCUGUGCUAUUUCAGCUACUGGCUAUUCCUGCCGUUGCAACAUUCAUGGAACACAUGGCAAAUUCUUCUAUAAAUUCAGCGCUCCACACAGCUGUAGGGUUGCAUUGCUACACUUGUACUGAACUUUGGGUUAGGUACUUCUCUACACACAGCUGAAGCCUCAUCUGGCAGCCAUGCCCAUGAGUAUAGAGCAAGGUCUCCACAUGGCAAGAGGGAGCGGAGAAACUAGCUACACUAAGAAUUCUAGGAUUCAAGUAAUAGCUCUCUCCGUCUCUGUCUCUGUCUCUUGCUCUCUCCCCACCACCUGAAGUUCUUUUUGGCAUGUUUGGAAAGGAUAUUUUGAUCCAAACUCCAAAAAUUUACUUCAAAUUCUAAUUCUAAUUAAUGGAUCAAAACUCUUAUCCAGGUGUCAGUGAGUCAAUUUUUUAUGAGUGACUAGGACGGUAACAUUUUUCUAUUUGCAUGGAAACAGGAAAAGGCUAUGUUUCAGAUUAAACCACUCCUUGAGGAGGCCACGAGAGAAGUAUACACAGCUCUUCACCCUCGAAUCAUGGUCGUGGCUGAUUUAGGCUGCUCUUCGGGGCCUAACACAUUGCGCUUCGUCUCAGAGGUGAUCAGCAUCAUAGAUCGUUAUUGCAAGGAACUUGGCAUACCGCAUGACCACCCACAGCUUCAGUUCUUCCUGAAUGACCUGCCGGGCAAUGACUUCAACAACCUCUUCGAGUUGGUCGACCAGUUCAAGAGAUCAACGACAAUAAAUCACGAGGAAGAGGCACGGCCUCCAUACUAUAUCUCUGGGUUACCAGGCUCUUUCUACACCAGGCUUUUCCCUUGUGAAAGUGUUCACCUCUUCCACUCUUCGUUCUGCCUUCAAUGGCGCUCUCAGGUAUGCUUGCAAGAUGCAUUUCGUACAUGUCCAUGCUUUUUAUUAUUUUUUAGGUUUUGAAACGACCUAUGGUUGUUUUUAGACCUAAGUGUGUUUUUAAUAACGUGUACACAUAUGUAGGCACCGAAGGGACUCAAGGGCACGGGAAAAACACUCAAAGAUAAAGGAGAUAUUUACAUCACAAAGACUACAUCACCUUCGAUAGUAAAACUGUUUCAACAGCAGUUCCAAAAGGACUUCUCCCUCUUCCUCAAGCUGCGCUAUGAAGAACUCGUUUUUGGCGGCCAAAUUAUUCUAACAUUUAUUGGGAGAAAGUAUGAGGAUGUGUUCAGCGGAGAGUCCAAUCAUCUCUACGGAUUGCUUGCACAAUCGCUGCAAUCCCUUGCUGAUGAGGUAAAUUUAAAUUAAUUUCAACCACUAUCUAACUAUCUUGUGUAGCACAAUAUUGAACUUUGAUCUUAAUAGGGCCUUCUGAAGAAGGAAAAACUUGAUUCCUUCUAUCUACCAAUCUAUUCGCCAUCAGUUGGUGAAGUGGUGGCUAUAGUGGAGCAAAAUGGGCUGUUCAACAUGAAUCACGUCAAAUUGUUUGAGACAAACUGGGAUCCUUAUGAUGACUCAGAGUGUGAUGUUGUGCACGACAGUUUUAGGAGCGGUGUGAAUGUCGCCAAGGUUAUAAGAGCAGUAAUGGAGCCACUGGUUGCUAGCCAUUUUGGAGAAACCAUACUCGACACAUUAUUCAAAGAGUAUGCGCACCGUGUUGCCAAACAUCUUGAGAAGGAGAAAACGAAGCUUGCGGUUAUUGUCCUGUCCAUGAAGAAAUUAAAUCAAUCUAGAUAUCCAAGCAUCGUGCCUUAAAUUUUGUUGUUUCACUCCAACUAGUUGCUACCACGCGCUAUACCAGUUAUCUAGAAAACUCAAUAAUAUGCAUGUUUGUGUGUAAUGUGCUGCUUGUUGUGGUGCUGUUUAUUAUCUUCAUCAUUGUUUGUCGAGCUACAAUUUAAAUAGUAAAGAUUAUGUACUCUGUCUAUUUGUUGUCUUCAUUAUGGUUAAGCUAGCAUAGCAGCAGAUUUGUUUCAGCAAAAUCUGUAUGUUCGGAUUUAUUCAAGAUCCUCUGGAAUUUCUGGGCCGGGGUUUGGGUUAAAUCUGUGUCAUCCUGGUAUAGAUGCAUGAAAAAUUCAAAAUCAAACGAUGGCUGCUGGCUCAUCACACAGUGCAAACGGGAGGGCACCAUAACCCUUCCAUAUAUACUUGAUGUGUGACUGACGCUGUUUGGCACAACUUCCAUGUUGUUGUGUGCACCUGAAAAACUAGAUUGUAUGUGCUGGAACGUUACCAGAUACUAUGUAAAUUUCCAGAUGAAAACAAAUAAUGUAGUUGAUAACUUGAUAUUUCUAUCAGUGUGCAGUGUUAGAUUAGUUAAACUCCUACUGGAUUUUUGUGUCAUGUAUAUGGCUGGCUUGAUUUCUACUAUCUGUAUGCAUGUUUAACUUGUCAAUCGCCACCUGUCAUACACUGCAAUGAUUCAAUAUUAGUGGGGUUUCUGCUAUUUCCGUUUGUUUGAACAUAGGGAGAUUUUAGUCUGACCAUCCAUCCUGAGAAAUCAAACAUGAAAAGAAGGGAAGUACCGUGAAGUACCUAAGGAGAAGUACUAAAUCAAACAUGGAAAGAAGGGAAGUACCGUGAAGUACUUAAGGAGAAGUACUAAGAAAUACCAAUUUGGUGGAACCAAGUACCAAAAUAGUGAGAAAUUAAUAUGAUGCUCUUUUAAUUAUGUAAAUCUACUUAAUUCUUUUUUAAGCAAAAAAAAAGAAAGGAAAAUACCUGCAAGUACCACCGGUACUUUAAAACAUUGUAACAAAGCUCUUAUUACUUCAUAAUAAUUCACUGUUCAUAUACAUGACAUUUUGAGGUUAAAGUACGAUCUCAAUAAAUCAUAAAUCACUUGCAAGGGGCAUAUACUCUAGUAAAUAACCUGCACAAUUCUAGUAAAUAGAUUAUCAUAUGGGCAGAAAGGCUAGAUUCUAGUAAAUCACGUUCAGCUUCAUAUUUUAGUAAUCAUUCAUAAAUUCUAGUAAAUCAUAGGUUCAUAGCUGUCAAAUAUAUAAGGGCAGCAAGGCAUAAAUAAUUAUAGUGACUUGUAUUCAAGGACAUAGAUUUAAAUCGUUAAAAAAUUCCCGUAUAAAUCAUAGUUUCCAAAUUCACAAGCACUAUAUAUAUUCUAGUAAAUCACAAACAAAGGCAUAUUUUAAAAUAGUGAGAGUAGUUUGCAUGUAUAACAUCUUCCAUACGGGUGGGCUUAUGUUUCACUACCAUCAUGUACAGACACCAUAUCCAAAUUAUCGUCAAUAUACAUCUGAAUUACAUGUUUAGCUUAUUGUCCAUCCAAAUUAUCGUAAAUUUGGGCCUUCAGUCCAUCCAUAAGACGUACUAAGACAUCCACAACAACAAGACGGGCUAUCGUAGCUCUCACCAUCCUCAUGUUAUACAUUCAAAUUAUGGUAAAUGGCCUUGAUCAUGUGUCUACUCCUGUUUUCAUCAAGUUAUCAUAAUUGAUUUAGUACAAAGUGCACGCCGUUCCAGAUUUUUUUCUUCAUCGUUCCUCCAUUUUUAUAAUUGCACUGCUCCUAUAAGAUUGCACUACGGAGAAAUGGGCGGGGAGAGCCUUCCUUCCUUCCCCUGCUGCUCGCGCAAGUCUCCCGGUGGGCAGGGCAGGGCACGUCGUCCCGUCCGCCUCCCUCGCCGCGCCGGCCCGUCCGUCCACCCAGCCGGCAGUGGCACGACAGCUUGCUGCUGCACCUGCGCUGCGCAUUCAUGGCUGCCAAUGGCCGCUGCCUGAAUGCCUGAUGCCCCAAGCACAAAGUCACUUCUCCCCCGCCUCCCUCCUCCAUCCGGGACAGAGUAUUGCUGCUAGUGGUAAUUAAUUAGAGCCGUGUGCUGCGGUCAGUGUCUGGUAGUAGUAAAACUUGAUUACCCUUUGCUUCGAGUCUUCGACAGCCCGGCCGUGGGCUGUGCGUGCUCAUGAGCCGCCGUGGCCCGUUGGGCAUGCAUCCUGCCACUGCUGCUGUCGCUGAUGAUCAUAGCAAGCAUACCUGCCUCGCCAAUUGUCAUGUGUAGCCGUGUACGGGCGAUCAUUUCCUCAACUUCCAACUUGCACCAUCCUCGUAGAGCAGCCAGCAAUGGUACGUAGCAGGCUUCGUGGAUUUCAAUCCAAGAAAGAAUUGCCACCUACGGGACCCAGCCCAUCACAGCAGCACAUAUAAUUACCAUUUUUUACCUUGUCUAAAAAAAGAAAAGCCUGCAUGUUUACAUGCGUAUCCAUUACCCAGCAGCGGCUCCUCUCUCCUCUGUACUGAAGAUUCAUUCAGACAUUGGCAGGCAUUAGGUUGUAUUUACCUGUAUGUAUACUAUGGGUCUACGGGCCUGCUACGUGUAUGAUCUAGCAGGCAGCUCGCCUGUGGGCGCCGCCGGCCCUAGCGAGUGAAGGGUGUCAGCUAGGGUUCCUAACCCUAGCUGCCCCUGCACCUGGUCCCCUAGGCCUAUGUAUGGUUGUAGCAUGUGCUCUUGUAUAAUUAAUCUAAUCUUUCCUCACCUAAAUAUCUCUUUCAUGGUAUCACGAGUCUAGAUUUCAGUCUUAGGUCUCUAGCUUCCACUUUUCGCGCGACAUCCGCGCCUGCUCUUCCAUGGCUGGCUCCCUCGGCACUCCUGUCGCCGCCCCUGCUGACGCCUCGGAUGCCCCUGCCGUCGCUCCUAGCGCCCCAAGCGGGGCUGCUGCCACCGCCCCCGCUGCCUCUGAGCGCAACGCGGUGCAGCACGAGGCCGCCGCCGCCGCCGUGGCUGCCGAUGCCUGUGCUUGCAUAGAGGCCACCGAGCGCGUCCUCACCGCCGUCGUCGCUGCCCGCGAGGAGGCUACAGCCGGUGAGCAGGCCGCCAUCGCCGCCGUUGCCCGUGAGCAUGAGGUGCUGAAGCGCGCUCUCGGUCCCCCUCGCCCCGACGACGACCUCGACAACGCCCUCCUCCGUCAGGAAGCUGCUCACCUCUUGGCGCUCCAUGCUCAAGCGGUGGCUGUCCAGAACAUCCGCGCCCUUGUCACUGUCAUCCUCGACGUCAAGACCGGAAACUACACACGGUGGCGCAGCCAGUUUCUUCUCACCCUCGGCAAGUACUCGCUGUCCGGCCACAUCCUCAACGAUACCAUCUGCACCCAUCCCGGCUAGGUUCGGAUGGACUGCGUCGUCACCCAUCCCGGCUAGGUUCGGAUGGACUGCGUCGUCCUCAUGUGGCUCUGCGGCACCAUCUCCGACUGCCCCCACAGGCGGGCUGCCUGCUAGCUCAUACAUGUAGUAGGACCUAAUAGCAGGCUUUUGUGGCGGAACCACCUCGGAUUAACUUAAUUAAAGCACGAUUAAGCCGCUUGACACGCGACACUCAUGCCUUAGUCAAGUUAGCUCGAAGUGCCGUCAGAUUUCAUCCGAUUUAACCACUUAACAGGACCGAGUUAGCAUGACCCACACGAAGGUGAGUGGUUCCAGAGAAUACAACAGGUCUACCAUUAGAUUAACAAGUUGUUACACACUCGGUUAUAAAUCAGAGUUUUACAAGUUCAGAAGAAAACAACAGAAGAUAAAAACAAAUCGGAAGCUACUCGUCGGGGUCGGACGUCCCUGGUGAGGCCAGCCGGGACAUCAGUGAUCCCAUUCCCCGCCGUCCGAGGAAGGAUCCCACUCGACCGUCCAACCCGGAGGGAGGUGGGGCGGCCAAGUGCCAGCAGCAAGCUCUGAAGCUGCAACUUCACCUGAAAAGAGAAGCCACAAACAAGGCUGAGCUUCUAAGCUCAACAAGACUUAACCGACCGCUGACCACUUCACCACGUCUAGACAUGCAAGGCUCUUUUGGCUGAGGGGGUUUUGUUUGCCAAAAGCGACUAUGUUGGGUCCUUAUUUUCAAUUUUUAGCUCAGAUUCUAGUUCAUUAACCAGUCUAUGUUGGCAACUUACUCUAAGCAAGCGUAGAUCCACUUUAUGUAUAUAAGCUCAACAUCAAGACCAUGUCAUCAUCAGACUCCUUCAUUACUCAGUGUAGUAUUAUGAUCAAGCAGUCUCAAACUGUGAGAGGCAGACGAAUCGAUUCGAGUUCUUUAACCAUGCAUGGUGAACCUAACCUCACGACAUCCGCGCACCACCGAGGGUCGCUUCCUGUGUCAGCCUUCCCCAUCAAUUCCCUAACCCGUGUUGGGUCCACUUCCUUUGGUGCAAGGUUCCACGGACCCGGCCUCUGCCGUUCUGUGACUACACUUGCCACCACAUGCGGCCGCAGGGGAACUUCGUUCCAAGGACAGUGGAGCGGCCGCUCACGUUUAGGUUCAAUCAGGUACUAGGCUUCCCCAUCCCAUACUGAGUAUGAGGUUAGUACUUUCAAACACUUGAUCACGAACACCACUACUGUCGGGCCUUAACAGAUUCAGUAAACAGACGGGGCGAUCAGCCGACCACCAAAAGAGUUAACCAAAACCCUGCCCCAUCCGUCGUCCUUAUAGUUGUAACAGAAGGAGAAACAACCAACUCCUAUAACUCGCGAGUGAUAGGAAAUCACUCGAUUUUUAUCGAUUCCUAUUUAAGCAUAGCAACUACUCGGCCCAACAAAUUAGUGUUCAGAUCAAAGGAACUAUGUCAUGCAUCUAUGGUUGCAAACAACUCCUAUACGUAAAUCACAAACACGAGAAGGAAGGCAUGUGCAAGCUUAGAAAGUUGGGUUCAUGCUUCAGGGUUUGCCUUCAAGCGGAGGGUAGGAGAACUGGUCUUCAGCUAGGGCUGCUUCGGCUUCUGGAGUUGGCAGCUUAGCUACAGCUCCGUCUUCGGGCACCGGGUGUAGCUCGUAGACGCCAUCAGCGAGAUGUAACUCUAGACGAAAAGGAUACAGCCGAGUCCUCGGGCGAGGCGGAUAAGGGUCGGCUAACAGACAGGGUCGGGCGAGACGAAAAAAGUGGUCGGACGAAAUAGAUAGGGUCGGGCAAGACGGUAAGGGUCGGCAGCUUACCUUUAGGUUUAUAGGUGAAGCUUCGGGGUCGGGAAGGAACAGACUUGGGCGGAAGGACUUAAGCACUAAGGCUUGGGCAGCGGCGAUGUCCGGCGAUGCUCUGGCGGCGGCGGAGCUUCUUGUGGGCAACAAGGAAGCUCUAGCACAGCGCGAAGGAGCAGGCGGUUGGGUGGAUUGGAGAGAAGCGGGUCUGAGCGGAGAAGGGAACUUCUCAAGAGUUUCAGCGGAAGUGCUUAGGUGCGCUCAGAGUAAGGGCGGCGAAACAGCAAAGGCGAAGGAACUCUGGUGGAACUCUGGCAUUCCCUUUUAUAGCUGCGCGGAAGAGAGAGAGAGUUGGAGCAGCAUGAAGACCGGGAAGAAAAAGAUGGAGUGCGCUGCCAUGCCGGCAAUUGAGCGGCGAUGGGCUACGGAACAAAGCUUCGGAGAUGGCAUCUUCGCCCAUUGGGCACUGGAGACAAGGCGGCGCAGGCGCGGUUUUGCCGGGGUUUAGAUUUGGCGGAGGCAAGCGUCGUCGAGUGGCAGAUUUGAUUGGUGUGACAAGGAAAAAGGCGCUACAAGCGAGGUUGCAACAGGCAAAGUGACAAGGCGAGCUGCGGCUGCGCGGGCGAGCGCGAAACAGCAGCUUGCUGGGGCACAGUUCUGGCAAGGCAGAAAAGGAGCUGUCACUACCGGAGUCGGGGUUGGCGAGGGAGGAAUCAUCGUGUAGCGAGUUCGUGGGCAGCGCGACUGUGGAGAGGCGACAGAAAAACCGGAAGGCAUCGGGUCUUGCAGCCAGGGAUCCGGCGAGAUGAUGAUGGGCGCGUGUUGCAAGGCGGUCUGAUCCAGCAGCGGCAAAGCUCUGCCAUGGCGAUGACGGGGCACCAUGGCACGGCCGGCGAGGGCGUGAGCGAGACGAGGCGAGGCAGAAAGGGUUGCAGAGGGGCUUCUGCGGCGAUUGGGGAGGAGGGCGCGGGAAUCCAUCCUGUCGCGACCGGCGACUGGGCGAGGCGGCGGGCGUCGAAGAGAUCAAGCCACGCGGCUGAGAAGCUCUGAAGCGGGCGCAUGCUGUUCGGGCGCGUCUGCCUCGGGAGAUCCGGAGAAAAGAUUUGCGGGUCCACCAGUCAGUCUCGGUUUCUCCUCUGCUCAAGAUGGAAAGGGACACUGCCUUUGGGAUUCAUAAGGAACCGAUGGGGUUGGUUGGGUUCUUCAGGGGUCGGGACCAGGAACUGGAGGUUGAGCGCUUAAGCUCAGGGGAGCUAAGACAGAGGGAUUAGGGACUCGGAUUAGGAUUAACUCGGCUGAUUUAACCAAGGCCGUUACAGCCUACCCCCCUUAAAAAGAAUCUCGUCCCAAGAUUCGGGUGUAAGAGCGACCAGUGGGGGUGUGCAGUCCUUACCUCCUUGGCUGGAAAGAAAACCUCGGAAGUGUUUGUUCAGAUACUCUUCUGUUUCCCAGGUGGCUUCUUCUUCUUUGUGGUUGUUCCAUAGUAUCUUGUACAUUUUGACUGUUUGCCGUCGGGUGUGUCUUUCCUUUCGGUCGAGGACCUUUGCUGGAUACUCAGUGUAAGUUAGGUCGGACUCAAUUUGAAGUUGCUCCUGGUCCAAGACCUCAGUUGGAACUUGGACACAUUUCUUCAGUUGGGAGACAUGGAAAACAUCCGGUAAGCAAUGGGUCCACAGAUUUCCACAAUUUCAUAAGGACCAAAGUAACGGGGAGCCAAUUUUCCUUUUACUCCAAACCGUUGCACUCCUUUGGUAGGGGAGACUUGAAGAUAUACGUGAUCACCAAUGUCAAACUGCAGGGGUCUUCUUCUCCUGUCCGAGUAACUCUUUUGUCGGGAUUGGGCGGCCUCGAGAUUUUCUUGAAUUAUCUUCACUUGUUCUUCUACUUCUACUACUAAGUCAGGGCCGUAGGUCUGUCUUUCGCCGACUUGUGACCAAUUCAACGGUGUCCGACAUUUCCGACCAUAUAGGGCUUCAAACGGUGCCAUCUUCAAACUGGUCUGGUACCUAUUGUUAUAGGAGAACUCUGCCAAUGGUAAGCACUUAUCCCAAUUCUUGUCAUAAUGAAUGACACAAGCUCUUAACAUGUCUUCAAGGAUCUGAUUUACCCUUUUGGUCUGACCAUCGGUUUGAGGGUGAUAAGUCGAGCUACGAAUGAGCUUGGUGCCGAGCGAUGCUUGUAGCUGUUCCCAAAAACACACUACAAACUGAGCUUCUCGAUCUGAGAUGAUCGUCCUAGGCACACCGUGUAGGGAGACAAUGCGGUCAAGAUACAACUCUGCAUAUUUCUUGGCCAGGUAGGUGGUGUGGACCGGAAGAAAGUGGGUAGUCUUGGUAAGACGAUCCACAAUCACCCAAAUGGAAUAAUGUCACUGCGAUGUAAGGGGCAGUCCAACAAUGAAGUCCAUGCUGAUGUCUUUCUAUUUCCAAGAGGGAAUAGGUAGGGGCUGCAGGGUACCAGCUACCUUUAAAUAGCUGGUUUUGACACGUUGACAGGUGUCACAUUCUGAAACAUACCGUGCAAUUUCUAGUUUCAUUCCACACCACCAGAAGAUUUGACGGAGAUCAUGAUACAUCUUAUUGCUGCGAGGAUGAAUUGAGAACUUGGAGAGAUGAGCUUCAUCUAGGAUUUGCUUUCUCAGAUUGGGGUCGGAUGGUACAAGUCAAUUUCCAUAAUAUACUCUCCCAUUCUCAUCCUGUCGGAAUUGCUUAUACCCUUCAUCCUUCAAUGAAAUCUUCCUUUUGAUUCGCCUCACUUCCUCAUUCUCUAAUUGUGCUGACCCAAUUUGGUCUUCCAGGACAGACUCAAGAGAUAUAUGGCCGAGGGUUCCAUGGGAAAUAAUUUCCAAACUGAGCUUUCCCAUCUCCUGGCACAGGGUCUCUGUGAAAUUGGUUGCCAUCAAGAAAUUGCAAUGAGUCUUGCGACUAAGAGCAUCGGCCACCACGUUGGCCUUGCCGGGGUGAUAAUGCACUUCCAAAUCAUAAUCCUUUAUCAACUCCAACCAUCUUCUUUGGCGCAUGUUGAGGUCGGCCUGAGUGAAGAUGUACUUGAGACUCUUGUGAUCGGUGUAGAUGUUACAGUGGGUGCCCAUCAAAUAGUGCCUCCAUAUCUUUAUGGCAUGAAUCACUGCUACCAACUCAAGAUCAUGGGUCGGAUAGUUCAGCUCAUGAGGUCGUAACGCCCGCGAGGCAUAGGCAAUGACUCGAUUGUCUUGCAUAAGAACACACCCAAGUCCAGUGCCAGAGCUGUCACAGUAUACGUCAAACGGCUUAGAAGGGUCGGGUUGAGCCAAAACCGGGGCUGAGGUCAGCAAGUGUUUCAAGGUGUUGAAGGCUUCUUCACACUUGUUACUCCACACAAAUUUGACUUCUUUCUUCAGCAGCUCAGUCAUCGGCUUAGCUAUCUUGGAGAAAUCCGGAAUGAAACACCGAUAGUAGCCUGCUAGUCCAAGGAAACUUCGGAUCUGGUGAACUAAAGUGGGUGGCUUCCAGUCCAUGACUUCUUGUACCUUGCUGGGGUCAACUGUUAUGCCAUCCCGAGAGAUGGUGUGUCCUAAGAACUUGACACUCUCAAUCCAAAAUUCACACUUGAAGAAUUUGGCAUAGAGUUGAUGAUCUCUCAACCGUUGAAGAGCCACACAAAGAUGCUUGGCAUGUUCUUCUUCGCUCUUAGAGUACACCAGAAUAUCAUCAAUGAACACCACCACGAACUUGUCCAGUUCGGGAAUGAACACCAAAUUCAUGAGAUACAUAAAAUAGGCGGGUGCAUUGGUGAGUCCAAAAGACAUAACUAGGUACUCGUAGAGUCCAUAUCUUGUGGAGAAAGCAGUUUUGGGAAUAUCACAGGGUCUGAUCUUGAUUUGGUGAUAACCGAAACGAAGAUCGAUCUUGGAGAACACUCUGGCUCCAGCUAAUUGAUCAAACAGAACAUCAAUGUGGGGAAGUGGAUACUUGUUCUUGAUAGUCACCACAUUGAGGGGUCGGUAGUCCACACACAUGCGUAGACUCCCAUCCUUCUUCUUCACAAACAGGGCUGAGCAACCCCAGAGUGAAGUACUGGGUCGGAUGAAGCCUUUCUCCAACAGAUCAUGCAACUGGGUUUUUAACUCGGCUAGCUCCGCGGGUGGCAUCCGAUAGGGUCUCUCGGAUAUCGGAGCGGUGCCUGGCUGCAGUUCAAUGGCAAACUCGAUAUCUCUGUCUGGCGGCAUGCCAGGUAAGUCAUCUAGAAAUACAUCCGGGUACUCGCAGACAACAGGAAGGGUUUCUAUCUGGGCUUCCGAUAUAGGGUACGCACAAGGAAUUGCGUACUCAGGGUGGGUCAAGGAUAGGGUAGAACUGCCAUGCAAGGGUGAGUCGAUGUGGAGAGCUCGGGCAGCUGCAUCUAGAACCACUUGGUGUCGGGUCAUCCAAUCCAUCCCAAGGAUGAUAUCUAUUCCUUCCAGGUCAAGGAUGAUGAGAUUCUCCCUAAAAAGAGUUUGGUCUAGCUGGAUAGGUACAAGGGUAACUAUCUUGUCUGAGGCUAUCUUCCUUCCCGGAGUGGAGAUCACAUAUGAUCCUUUAGUGUGAUCAACACUCAGCUCACAUCUUUCUCUAGUCUUACUCCCGAUGAAGCUAUGGGAGGCUCCCAAAUCAAACAAAACAACAACAGUUUGAUUAUGGACAAGGAAGGUACCCGUCAUCACUGGCGCACCUUCGGGGAGCUCGGUCAAGCUGGUGUAGUUGAGCCGUCCUUGGCAAACUUGCACCUUGGGCCUUCUUCCUCUGUUCGCUGUGGGGUUCUGGCCAGUCUGGUGAUGCUUGUUCCUGGGGCAGUCCCUUGCAAAAUGCCCUUCAUUUCCGCAGGUGAAACAACGGUUGCUAUUCACAAGGCGCGACGGCGGUAAGGUCGGCCGGGGCGCCUGCGGUUGGAAAUUGGGAAAACGAGGUGCCGUGGGAGGUGGAGGGUGAGAAAUCCAUCGUCCCGAUUGUUGGGGCCUGUGGGGCACCUGAGGGGGAACCAUCCUGAAUCUUCGAGCGGGCGGGCUCGGCAAUGCCGCUGAGGCUUUCCUUUUCUGGUCAGCUCUGAGAGCCUGCAUGCAGUCCUCUUGAGAGAUGGCCAGAUUCACCAACUCGUUGUAGGUAUCCACCUUGGUGGGAUUCAACCUUUCCUUGAGUUCCAGGCUCAAGCCUCUGCGGAACCUGUCCCUUUUCUUCUCGUCGGUAUCUGCAUGAUAGCCGGCAUAACGGCACAGGUCGUUGAAGGCUUGUGCGUAGUGUAGGACGUCACGGCUUCCUUGGGUAAGGGCCAAGAACUCGUUGAGUUUGCGUUCCAGAAGACCUUUGGGAAUGUGAUUUCCUCUGAAGACGGUCUUGAACUCGUUCCAGCUGACAGCAUGGUCGGCCGGCAGCAUAGCAUGGUAGUGAUCCCACCAAAGCCGGGCGGAACCACGCAGCUGUUGAGCCGCGAACUGGACUUUGUUCUGGUCAGGACACGGGGUGGUGAGGAGUUCGAACUUGGAUUCGAUAGUACGAACCCAGGCAUCUGCAUCGAGUGGGUCUUCAGUCUUGUGGAAGGUCGGGGGCUGCGUGCUCAAGAAGUCCUCAUAACGAGCAACUUGAGGUUGUUGAUGAGCUCUCCCUCCAUGGGGCUGCUGUUGUCCUUGUACAAUGUGUCUUAGCAGCUCAGUCUGAGCCGCUAGGAUGGCUUCCAGCGAAGGUGGGGGCGGAGGUGGAGGAAGAUCCUGCCUCUGCUCGCUGCCACUGGGCACAGAGCCAGAUCGGGUGCGGUGCGCCAUCUGCAAGAGCCAACGUUCCAUUAAUUCCAUAACCUCAGAAGUAUUCCAAUCAUGCAGGAACGUAUACUUUAAAUCCUCAAAAUGCGACUCUUACUGAUAGUGCAACACAACAACAUCUCUUAUUAAGGAGAUACACACUUCCUCUUGCCAUCUCAGUUAGCAACUAUCUUAGUUCUUCACACAACUUCGGGCGAACCAAAACCGUAUCCCAUAGGCUCCACUAUAUCCGACCUUAGGCCAAGGGGUCGGGCUAAGCGAAACAGUGCAACCAGGGGUCGGGCGAGGCGGAGAACUGCCUCGAGGGGUCGAGUGCAUCCGACCUUGCAACUUGGGGUCGGCCAACUUUGGACAGACCCACAGAAAACUUGUGUGUGGUCACAGCACAAAACUCACACAACCUGGCAUCCAAGGCGUGUCGCAAAAAGGGUCAAAAAUCAAGUCAAGAUCUGAUUUCACUAAGAUCAUUUCAUUGUUGUUCCCCAAAAUACAGGAGGAAUACUCAACUCAAGGCUAACCUAUUACAUCACUAUCCAAAACUUAGGUUGCCGAGGAGUACAACAAAAGAUUAGAUUCCUACAGCUCUCAACCUAUGAGGGAACACUGUGAGUCGGAGAAGGGGCGUCGCCAUCCUCAAUGUCCAUGCUGGACGCUCCCAUGACCUCCUCAGGGUCUUCUUGUUCAUCUAGCUGCAUCUCAAGGGCAUGCAUAGCAUCGAGCUCAGCGUGGUGCUCGUCCAAAUGAGCAUUGGCAACUGCGAGCUCCAGCUCAACUUCCAUCUUCUCUUCGGCAAGCUCGAUCAUACCAUCCACCAGGUCUGUCACUUCUCCCUCGAGCUCAGAGAUCCUGGCUUGCAUGUCAUGGAUCUGUAUGCCUCUCUGGAUGAGCUGAUAUGACCAUCCCACCAAGUCUCUCUUGGCGGCGUUGAAAUACCCUUGGGUGUCUAUGGCUAUCCGAGCCAAGACAGCCAUAGCUCGGCCUUGAAGCUCAAUCAGCCGAUACAAGGCUGACACGCAUCUGGUGGUGGUAGAGAUGGUGACCAACAAAUGGGAGGUUGCCAACACCUCCAUGUUGUUAACACGAUCAAGCCACGCCAAGUCUAGCCGAUCCCUGGCAGGAAACAGGCCGAUUGGGUCCAAGGUGACCUCAAGCGGGUGUAGCUGACGGAACUGGGUGAGGAUCUGAGAGCAGCCGACUCCCAAGUAUCCUCCAGAGCGUGUCCGCUAGUCAAGACUUCGACCUGGGGCCACUCGGGCUGCACAGGGGGUGGAGGUACAAUCACCUACACGUUGCAUCUCUGCACUCCGUGCUCCUGGUACAUCCGUCCCAUGUACAGAGGCGGGGACUAGUACCCAAACCACCUUAAGGUAUCCCACAGAAUAGCAAUAAAACCGUCAAAGUGUAGGCACGUAGAGUGGGAAACGCCGUUAGCGCCGUACAACACGUGUCCGGGGGCAGCCAUAUGGAACCAAGAACCGAAACAACGUGAGAUAGAAACUCUAAGAAGAAGAAUAGAUCAGGCAGAAAAGGUACUCGGAUUUGACCAAAGUAUAGCUGGAAAGGUAGCUAGAAAUCCUUAAAGCGAAGAAAAGCUUUUCCAAGGCAAGGUUGUUUUAGAGAGGUGAUUUCACAGAUUUUUGUUCAUGACGCAUGCACGACCUACUUCGUCCUCUCAACCAAAACAACUGCCAAAAACCUUUGGUCUUACGCAAUCAGUGCCGGUGGCAAGGCAACCAGUACGUCGCUCCCUAUAAUAGCUAGUCGGGUUCUAGUAGCAUCUCCUAAGCGAACGCGGUUAGUGUACCUGCAGAAAACACAGCCACCUGAACCUUUCAUGCCAGCACCCACGAAAGCGUCCCCAAGCAUUACCGUUCACUAUAGAAAUGGCACCCAUGCGUUUAACGCUGCAUGGACAGCACAACAACCGCGGAAAUAGGUCCCCUUUGAAUGGAACCGUAUAACCCUUCGCAUACUCGAGAUGCGGAAUCUGCGCACGUAUAAUAGACGUGGACGAACAACCGUGAUGAUAGGCUCGUUGGAAUCGAACCAUACCACCCUUCGUAUGAAUCAACAUACGGAACCUGCACACGUAUGAUAGACGUGGGCGAAACAACCGCGAUGAUAGGGUCCCUUGAAUAGAACUCCCUAUCAACCCUCGCAUACUCGUGAUGCGGAACUCGGCACACGUAUGAUACACGUGGCGAAGUGCUGGGGGUUAGCAAGAUAACCAAUAAGUAAUAGCCACCAAAAACAACCCAAAAUCCCCUAGGGCCUCUCGUACUAAAGUCAUCCUUAACGAUCGUACGAGACUUUUCAACCUUUUUCUUACAAAAUUUUAUUCAAAAAGAACGUGUUCUAGGACCCAUCGUGUUCUCUGCCCUGCUAAACCAGCUCUGGUACCAGCUGUGGCGGAACCACCUCGGAUUAACUUAAUUAAAGCACGAUUAAGCCACUUGACACGCGACACUCAUGCCUUAGUCAAGUUAACUCAAAGUGCCGUCAGAUUUCAUCCGAUUUAACCACUUAAUAGGACCGAGUUAGCAUGACCCACACGAAGGUGAGUGGUUCCAGAGAAUACAACAGGUCCACCAUUAGAUUAACAAGUUGUUACACACUCGGUUAUAAAUUAGAGUUUUACAAAUUCUGAAGAAAAUAAUAGAAGAUAAAAAUAAGCGGAAGCUUCUCGUCGGGGUCGGACGUCCCUGGUGAGGCCAGCCGGGACAUCAGUGAUCCCAUUCCCCGCCGUCCGAGGAAGGAUCCCACUGGACCGUCCAACCCAGAGGGAGCUGGGGCGGCCAAGUGCCAGCAGCAAGCUCUGAAGCUGCAGCUUCACCUGAAAAGAGAAGCCACAAACAAGGCUGAGCUUCUAAGCUCAACAAGACUUAACCGACCGGUGACCACUCCACCACGUCUAGACAUGCAAGGCUCUUUUGGCUGAGGGGGUUUUGUUUGCCAAAAGUGACUAUGUUGGGUCUUUAUUUUCAAGUUUUAGCUCAGAUUCUAGUUCAUUAACCAGUCUAUGUUGGCAACUUACUCUAAGCAAGCAUAGAUCCACUUUAUGUAUAUAAGCUCAACAUCAAGACCAUGUCAUCAUCAGGCUCCUUCAUUACUCAGUGUAGUAUUAUGAUCAAGCAGUCUCAAACUGUGAGAGGCAGACGAAUCGAUUCGAGUUCUUUAACCAUGCAUGGUGAACCUAACCUCACGACAUCCGCGCACCACCGAGGGUCGCUUCCUGUGUCAGCCUUCCCCAUCAAUUCCCUAACCCGUGUCGGGUCCACUUUCUUUGGUACAAGGUUCCACAGACCCGGCCUCUGCUGAUCUGUGACCACACUUGCCACCACGUGCGGCUGCAGGGGAACUUCGUUCCAAGGAUAGUGGAGCGACCGCUCACGUCUAGGUUCAAUCAGGUACUAGGCUUCCCCAUCCCAUACUGAGUAUGAGGUUAGUACUUUCAAACACUUGAUCACGAACACCACUACUGUCGGGCCUUAACAGAUUCAGUAAACAGACGGGGCGAUCAGCCGACCACCAAAAGAGUUAACCAAAACCCUGCCCUAUCCGUCGUCCUUAUAGUUGUAACAGAAGAAGAAACAACCAACUCCUAUAACUCGCGAGUGACAGAAAAUCACUCAACUUUUACCAAUUCCUAUUUAAGCAUAGCAACUACUCGGCCCAACAAACUAGUGUUCAGAUCAAAGGAACUAUGUCAUGCAUCUAUGGUUGCAAACAACUCCUAUACGUAAAUGCACAAACACGAGAAGGAAGGCAUGUGCAAGCUUAGAAAGUUGGGUUCAUGCUUCGGGGCUUGCCUUCAAGCGGAGGGGAGGAGAACUGGUCUUCAGCUGGGGCUGCUUUGGCUUUUGGAGUUGGCAGCUCAGCUACAGCUCCGUCUUCGGGCGCCGGGUGUAGCUCGUAGACGCCGUCAUUGAGAUGUAACUCUACACGAAUGCAAUGCAGGAGUUAGUGUUUAGAUGGUUAUUUCAACAACACUUGCGAGUUAAAGCUCGGGCACUUGUAGCAAAGCUACAGAAAAAGCAAGGAAGUUUACUUUAGUUGGUCGAGAGCAAGAUAAAAAGGGUCGGAUGCGAAUAGACUUGUGAUCUGACCCUUAAACUUUAAGGGAUAACUGUGUUCGGGGUCCUCAAACUUGACGCAGAGAAAUUCCAAUCUUUUACACAGAUACCCUCGGGUCAAGGAAAAGGAUACAGCCGAGUCCUCGGGCGAGGCGGAUAAGGGUCAGCUAAUAGACAGGGUCGGGCGAGACAGAAAAAGGGGUCGGACGAAAUAGAUAGGGUCGGGCGAGACGGUAAGGGUCGGCAGCUUACCUUCAUGUUUAUAGGUGAAGCUUCGGGGUCGGGAAGGAACAGACUUGGGCGGAAGGACUUAAGCACUAAGGCUUGGGCGGCAGCGAUGUCCGGCGGGGCUCCAGCGGCGGCGGAGCUUCUUGUGGGCAACAAGGAAGCUCUAGCACAGCGCGGAGGAGCAGGCGGCUGGGUGGAUUGGGGAGAAGCGGGUCUGAGCGGAGAAGGGAACUUCUCAAGAGUUUCAGCGGAAGUGCUCAGGUGCGCUCAGAGUAGGGGCGGCGAAACAGCAAAGGCGAAGGAACUCCGGUGGAACUCUGGCAUUCCCUUUUAUAGCUGUGCGGAAGAGAGAGAGUUGGAGCAGCACGAAGACCGGGAAGAAAAAGAUGGAGUGCGCUGCCAUGGCGGCGAUUAAGCGGCGAUGGGCGGCGGAACAGAGCUUCGGAGAUGGCGUCUUCGGCCAUUGGGCACUGGAGACAAGGCGGCACAGGCGCGAUUUUGCCGGGGUUUAGAUUUGGCGGAGGCGGGCGUCGUCGAGCGGCGGAUUUGAUUGGUGUGACAGGGAAAAAGGCGCUACAAGCGAGGUUGCUACAGGCGAAGUGACAGGACGAGCUGUGGCUGCGCGGGCGAGCGCGAACCAGCGGCUUGCUGGGGCACAGUUCUGGCAAGGCGGAAAAGGAGCUGUCGCUGCCGGAGUCGGGGUUGGCGAGGGAGGAAUCAUCGCGUAGCGAGUUCGUGGGCGGCGCGACUGUGGAGAGGCGGCGGAAAAACCGGAAGGCAUCGGGUCUUGCAGCCGGGGAUCCGGCGAGAUGAUGAUGGGCGCGCGUUGCGAGGCGGUUUGACGCAGCAGCGGCAAAGCUCUGCCACGGCGGCGACGGAGCACCAUGCCGCGGCCGGCGAGGGCGUGAGCGAGGCGAGGCGAGACAGAAAGGGUUGCAGAGGGGCUUCCGCGGCGAUUGGGGAGGAGGGCGCGGGAAUCCAUCCUGUCGCGACUGGCGACUGGGCGAGGCGGCGGGCAUCGGAGAGAUCAAGCCACACGGCUGAGAAGCUCUGAAGCGGGCGCAUGCUGUUCGGGCGCGUCUGCCUCGGGAGAUCCGGGGAAAAGAUUUGUGGGUCCACCAGUCAGUCUCGGUUUCUCCUCUGCUCAAGAUGGAAAGGGACACUGCCUUUGGGAUUCAUAAGGAACCGACGGGGUUGGUUGGGUUCUUCAGGGAUCUGGACCGGAAACUAGAGGUUGAGCGCUUAAGCUCAGGGGAGCUGAGACAGAGGGAUUAGGGACUCGGAUUAGGAUUACUCGGCUGAUUUAAUAAGUUCGUUACAGCUUUCACCAACGCAGCUGCUAAACGAGAUGAGGUGGACUGAUGGCCCAUUCGUGCUGCUGCCUGUGCUGUGAGUGGACUGCCAACUGACGGACGGCGAUCAGAUUGCAUACGGAUCAGGGUCAGACCAGCCAGAGCCAGCCCGAUCGAUCAAGCAACAACGACUAGUAUCAGCGAGGUGAUAUGGCGCACAUGCAGCUGCAGGCCACCAUGAGGGCAGUACGGGCACAGGAGCGCCUCUCCAACCAAUUGGCUUGGAAUCCAUCCGAAUUUCAUCUCACAAAAUGAAAUUCAUAUAUCCCAGCAGCCAGAGCCAGAAACUCUCAAACUGCACACCCUUUAUUUCCUCUUUUAAAUCACAACAGCCACGGGGAAGGAAAAUACCAGACGCCACCCUUACUCUGCACAGUGUAGUACUCCCUGCACAUUUCCAUCCGGAAGCAGGGGAAUUAUUGCUGCAAUCUGUCCUCAUAAAUUGGGAGCCCAGCAGACAGGCCCUCCUUCCUUGCUACGAGUAUAGAGUAUUCUUCUCCUCCUCCUCCUGGUCCGGUCAUGGGCGUUAUGAGGAGGGUAGGGGCGAGUGGUACCCUGCCCGUGCCGCGAGACAUCCUCCACUCCACUGCAUCAGCCGUCCGCUGCAAUGAAUCUUGGCUGGGACAGCCGGCUGGCGUAGGUGGUUACGAGCUGCAGCUGCCCACUGUCCAGGCCCUCCAGAUACGGCAGCAGCGACGGCCCCAGCUUCAGGUAUGUGUCCACCACGCACACCAUCACUGCCUGCCAAUUUGCAAAUGCACCACAGGGCAAAGCCGUUACGAUACACAUCAGCUGUUCUUUCUUUUUAAUUUUGGUACCAAAUGCUUUGUACGUAUGGUAGGAAUGUAUGAUGCAAAGCAAGUACAAUGCUGCAGUAGGUAAAUGUUACUGCAGGUCAGGUCCUAGUUGGUGAUGGUCCUCUUCUUUAGUUCCGGUUUAAUUUAGAUCCAGGAGAAAAGGGGUGCGCCAUCGGUAGGCUAGAAUUUACUUCUGGUUGGUAUUUGCAAUUGGGACUAAAGGGGAUCUUUAAGUCCUGGUUCAAAAUCAGCCACCCGUGGGGAUCCUUUAGUGCCGGUUGAUGUUUCCAACCGGGAUAAAAAGGGUCCCCAUGUGUAGCUGGGAAAUGACUAAAUCCCUUACCAACCGGGAUAAAAUGGGGUCUUUAAUCCCGGUUGGUGUUACCAACCCGGAUUAAAGGGUCCUACAUGAGUUAAUACAAAAUGAUAACAUUCCCUAUAUAGACAGAUGUGGUGUGUAGGUGGGAUAGCAAGGAAACUACACGUGAGGCUUGAGGUCAUGGGUUCGAAUAUGGACCGCGCACGCGCAUAUUUCGCGUGAAAAAUCACGUGACUUAUGACUUGUGGGGGGCCUCCCGGGGACCCUAGAGAUUUUUUAUUUUUGCAAUUUUUUUUGCAAAACCAUUUAGUCCCGGUUGGUAUUACCAACCGGGAUAAAAGGGGCGGGAGGCAGCCCCUGGCGUGGCGACCGUUUUAUCCCGGUUGGUAUUACCAACCGAGACUAAAAGGGGAUCUUAUAUCCCGGUUGAGGGACCCGGGACAAAAGAUCUCCCCUUUUAUCUCGACUGACUAAUCGCGGAUCGUUUUUUAGAAGAUAUGCAUCCUGUCAACCGGGACCAGUACCGAGUUCUCUAGCAGUGAGUAGCGUCAGGAUGCACACUGAAUGCAUGAAAACGACCAGGGUCCACCGAUCCGGUGCUUACAUGCAUGACUUCCAUGUUAAAAUAAAGUUACCCCAUAUGGCCUGACCUGUGUUCAGUAAAGACGGAUAUGGCCCGGCUAACCGAAGGGAACAGACCAAACAUGUGCCCAAGAAAUGCUACUGAAUUUUCUGGUUCGAUGAACACAUUGAUGAAUAGUAUGUGCUAUCAAGGCUAUUGGAAGUUGCUCAGGGUUCUAACCAUAAUUCUUAUGUGAUGUUUUGCCAACAUAGUUCAGUAAGGGUCUUCUAAGUUGUAGACCUUUAACUGAACAGACUCAAGUUGACAAAUUUAUAAGCUUUUCUAAGCUGAUCACUAGUGCAACUUCUACAUAUUAUGCUCCUAAUCGUUCCUAUGACCUUUACUGUAGGUAAUCUGGAGGACACGAGGAAGUACAAUUGUUCAAAAUACAGUGACUGACCUUAAAUACGGCAUUCUAGAGCAAAGUGGGAGUGGAUUAACCUUGCGGACAUAUGGGCUGUGGUUUUCAAAUGCAUCUAGAAGUGCAGGAAGAAAUGUUGAACUCGAAGGUGAACUCGAAUAUACGAUUUAGACAGGUUCGGAUCGCUAGAUUGCGUAAUACCCUACGUCAUGUGUGUUGGUUGGAUUGAAUUUGUGACGACUGACCCAAAUCUCUCGAGUUAAUCUUAAUCCGAAUUCCUGAUCCCCUAUCUCAGCCUUCCCGAGUUCAGUGCUCAACCUCCAGUCUGGUCCCGACCCCUGAGACCCGACCCCUCUCCGCUGGCCUCCAGUUCCGACCCCGCCGACCCCAACUCACCCGCCGGAUUCUCCUAAGUCUUUCCCCAACACCUCCCUUCAAUCUGACCGAUGGACCCACGAGAUCUUUUCCCCCAGAUCUUCCGCGACAGGCGCACUCGAGUUGCAUGCCCGCUUCAGAGUUCCCCCGCCGCGUGGCUCAACUCCUCCGACGCCCGCCGCUCCGCCUCGUCUUCGGCCCGCGACUGAAUGGAUUCUCGCGCCCUCCUCCCCAAUCACAGCGGAAGCCCCUCUGCAACCUUUCCGCAGCACCUCGCCGCCCGCGCCCAUCAUCACAUCGCCAGAUCCCGGCCGCAGAGCCCGAUGUCGCCCGUCUUUUCCGUCACCUCGCCACAGUCGCGCCGCACGGUCUUCGCUAUACGACGAUUCCUCCUCCGCCAACCCCGACCACGGCAGCGACAGCUACCUUUCCCGCCCUGUCAGAAGCCGCCCGACAAUCUGUUGCUCCGCGCUCGCCCGCGCGCCCGCAGCCGCCUGUCUUCUCACCUGUGCGCCCUCGACCCUAGCGCCAUUUUCCCGGUCACUUCCAUCAGCUCCACCGCACGACGACGCCCGCCUCCGCCAAAUCUCAACCACCGGCAAACCCGCGCCUGCGCCGCCCUGACGCCAGUGCCCAAUGACCGCCGGCGUCAUCCCCAAAGUCCUGCUCCACCGCCCUCGUCGCUCAAUCGCCGCUAGGGCAGAGCACUCCAUUGCUUCUUCCCCGGCCUUCGCGCCGCUCCCAUUCUCACUCCCGUGCUGCUAUAAAAGGGAAUGCGCGAGCCCCGCCGGAGUUUCCCUUGCCCUAGCUGCCAUCUCUCUUGCUCUCUGUUCGAGCUCACAGCGUCACCACACUAAGUCCCUAAGGAACUCUCCUCUCCGCUCCACACCGCUUUUCCCAAUCCACCUAGCCGCUUGCUCCUCCGUGCUGCGUAACAGCUUACUUGUGAUCCACAAGAAGCACCGCCGUCGUCGGAGCGCCGCCGGACAUCUCCGCUGCAAGUCUUAAUGUUCCAGUUCCUCCGCCCGAACCUGCUCCUUUCCGACCCCAAGCUUUCCUUGUAAGACGAAGGUAAGCUGCCGACCCCUUUUCCGCCUCGUCCGACCCUUCUGUUCGUCCGACCCCUUUUCCACCUCGUCCGACCCUUCUGUUCGUCCGACCCCUUUUCCGCCUCGUCCGACCCUUGUGUUCGUCCGACCCCUUGUCCGCCUCGUCCGACCCUUGUGUUCGUCCGACCCCUUGUCCGCUUCGCCCGACCCCUCUUAUCCGCCCGACCCCGGUUCCGUCUCGCCCGACCCUGUCUGUUCCGCCGACCCUUCUCCGCCUCGCCCGAGGACUCGGUUGUAUCUUUUUCUUCGAACCGAGGGUGUAUGUGUAAAACUUGGGGACUUUUCAGCGUUGAGUCUGCGGACCCCUAGCACAUCAAACCCUCUAGAUUAAGGGUCAGAUCAUAAGUUCCCUUCCUCCGACCCUUACCUCUUGAUCUUCACCAACUCCUUUGAACCUCCCCACCCUCCUGUAACUGGUCGCAAGUUUCUGGGCUCAGACAUGCAAGUGUUGCUGUUGAAAUAACCGUCCAAAUGCUAACUCUUGUAUUGCAUUUCGUGUAGAGCUGCGUCUCGCCGACGGCUACUACGAGCUGCACCCGACGCCAGAAGACGACGGUGUAGCCGAGCUCCUGCCCCCAGAAGCCGAAGCUGCCCCAGAAGUCAAGCAGUUCCCUUCCUCCUUGCUCGAAGGCAAGCCCCGGAUGCAUGAAACCCUUAUGUUUUCCAAACUUGCGCAUGCUUUCUGUAUCUUGUUUGUGCAUUUAUGUAUAGGAGUUGUUUGCAACCCUAGAUAUAUAACCUAGAUCCCUUGAUCUGAACACUAGCUGUUGGACCGCGUAGCUGCUUGCUUAAAUAGGAAGCGGUAAAAGUCGAGUGAUUUCCUGUCACUCGCGAGUUGUAGGAGUUGGUUGUCUUCCUCCUGUCACAACUGUAAGGACGAUGGACGGGGCAGGGUUUUGGGUAACUCUUUGGUGGUCGGUUGAUCGCCCCGUCUGUCUAUGAAACUUGCUAAGGCCCGACAGUGGUGGUGUUCGUGAUCAAGUGUUUGAAAGUACUAACCUCAUACUUAGUAUGGGAUGAGGAAGCCUAGUACCGGAUUGAACCUAGACGUGAGCGGUUGCCCCAUUGUUCUUGGAACGGAGUUUCCCCUGCUAGCUGUCGCACGUGGUGGCAAGCGUGGUCACAGAACGGCAGAGGUCGGGUCUGUGGAACCUUGCACCAAAGGAAAUGGGCCCGACAUGGGUUAGGGGAUUGAUGGGGAAGGCCAACACAGGAAGCGACCUCCGUGGUGCGCGGAUGUCAUGAGGUUAGGUUCACCAUGCAUGGUUAAAGAACUCGAAUCGAUUCGUCUGCCUCUCACAGUUUGAGACUGUUUGAUCGCUAUGCUACCCUGAGUAAGAAAGAAAUAUGAUGAUGACAUGGUCUUGAUGAUGAUAUAUAUAUACCUUUUGGUUGGUUCUAUGUUUGCUUAGAGUAAGUUGCUAACUUAGACCGGAUAAUGAACUUAGAACCUGAGCUAAAACUCAAAAAUAGGGAUCUACAUAGUGCGUUUGGCAAACAAACCCCUCAGCCAAAGAGCCUUGCAUGUCUAAAAGUGGUGGAGUAGCUUUACUCCAGUCGGUUAAGUCUUGUUGAGCUUAGUAGCUCAGCCUUGUUGUGGCUUUUCUUUCAGGUGAAGUUGCUGCUCCCGAGCCUUCUUCCGUGGGCACUUGGCCGCCCCAGCUCCCUCCGGGUUGGACGGUCGAGUGGGAUCCCUCCUCGGACGGCGAGGAAAGGGAUCACUGACGUCUUGGAUGGCCUCACCAAGGACGUCCGACCCUGCGUUUAGCUUCCACUUGCUGUUUUACCCUCUGUUGUUUUCUUUUGAAUCUUGUAAAACUCUGAUGUAUGUUUUAUAACCAAACUAGGUGGUUAAAGUGCUUAACUCAGUGGACUUGUUGUAUUCUCUGGAACCACUCACCUUUGUGUGAGUUUGCUAACUUGUCCUGUUCGAGUGGUUAAAUUGGAUGAAAUCCGACGGCACUUCGUGUUAACUUGGCUUAGGCAUGGGUGUCGCAUGUUAGGCGACUUAACCCUGUUUAACCAAGCUAAUCCGAAGUGGAUCCACCACAGAAUUAUUUUGGAGCGGAUCCCUGCCUCGUCUUAUAUUACGGAGGGCUGGGUUACAGGUCAAUUAUUUACAAGAAUGCUAGUCGGAUUUGAGUAGAUGAGUCCUACUCGUAGCAAAGAUUUUCUAAUCCUCAACUAGUUCCUGUCUUGCCACGUAGACCACGCUAUCCUGCACCGUAGUAUCCAUAUCUAACACGCCUCGGUGUCUAGCCCUGUAUCUAGGACUGUCCGAACCUUUUGGUGGGUCCAUAGAUGUAUGUACGACAAGCCCCCGAGUACUUUUUAGUCAAAUGCAGCAGUUCCGAGUAUUUUUUGUAUAUUUCUCUGACUAGUUUUGGUGCUCUUCGAGUACUUCAUCGUGUUGAGUCUUCAAACGUACUCGAGCACUGCCAUGCGGCUAGAAUGCGCUCAAGCCUCAUUUAACGUGGUCUUAAAUUUUCAAUCUUGAAUUUUUUAUAUGGAAGUACGACGAAAGUCGCACUCCAUAUGGAGUAGCCCCGAGCCUUAGGUUGAAUCGAAUAAUCAGGCUGAGGGUCAAUCUGUAAUUAGCAUCUCUUUUUCCUUAAAACCGAGAGAAAAAACAUUUUAGCCGAUGGGCACACAGCCCCCGAGCCGUUGCACGACUAGAUUGGUGGGUAUAAGGGUCAUCCUUUGGUUAACGUGACCAUCCAUCAACAGUAACCUUAUCUCUUCCGAAAAUAAUGGAAACUGCCAAUCAGGUGCGGAAUCUUCGGGCCAUUAAACCAGAAUAUUCCCUUUAAUUCUGCUGUUGUUACUAUGCUGUGGUUAUAAAUAAUGGAGAAAAAUAUUCCUUUCGUUUUACCCGUGCCAUCUGCUCUUUCAACUUUCGCAUUGUAGCCCUAGCACCGCCACAGCCUAAUCCUCGAGCUCUAGCGCUGCUGUCCCCCACCACUUAGCCCCCGAGUGUAUGCGAAAGAAGACUCUCGUGGCAACAAGGAUGGGGAAGAAGGCAACUGCAUCCAAAGCGGCGGAAGGCGGGAAGAAGAAGGUGGAUAAGAAGAAAGAGAUCCAACUACUAGCUCCGAAGUAUGGAAAGACUGACCAGACUGCCCCACCGUUUCCUACUUGUGCCUGGAAGCGCUCAUCGCUGAAAGAAGAGGACAUCAAGGCACUCAUGGCGGCCAACCUCCUCCAGGAGAAGGAUGUCAUCAACUGGAGGUCCGCAUUCAGCAACUCGUGGCCCCUAGAAACAUACGUCGAUGAGACGGUAAUCUUCUCCCAUUUCGUUGAGCGCGGACUUGUUUUGCCUGCCUCCGACUUCUUCCGCAACCUCUUGGACUACUACAAGAUUGAACUUGUGCACCAUAACCCCAACAGCAUUCUGCAUGCCACGAUCUUCAUUCAUCUGUGCGAAGCAUUCUUGGGGAUUCAGCCACAUUUUCAGCUUUUCGCAAGUUUUUCCACAUCAAGCCACAACCCAAGAGAGAACAUACUGAAGUAGUCAGAGGGGCUAGAAUCCAGAUGAGAGAAAGUAAAGGGCUUGUACUUGGACUUCGAGUUGAUUGACUCGCAUUAUGGGUGGAAGGAGAAGUGGUGCUACAUUGGUAACCACGAGCCCAAGCUCCCGAAGUUGGAUGACUUGGAAUAACAGAUGGUUGGAUGAGCCUUCUCACGGGGACUGCUUGCAGCUACCCGAGCUCCUAGACAGAAUUGCCAAGCUCAAGCAAAAAGGGCUAACAGGAGUUAGGGGAGCCUUCAGCUUCAUGAAGAGACGAGUUCAACCCCUGCAACUCCGGUGUACCUGGGGCUAUGACUACUUGGGCCCCAAUGACCUAUCCAGGAUGUCACCGGAGGAGCUCAGUGUUGAUGAAGUCAUUGCGCGAUUGAGGUGCCUGUUUAAGAAUACAAGCGAGAUCCUAACGAUUGUGCUGGAAUUCUGCACCGCCAACCCACCGAGUAGUGUAAGUACGCAUGGACGUAGCCCCCGAGUACUAAUUUUUGAUUACUCUUGCGGGCCAAUCUUUCUUUAUCUUCUUCCUCUGAUCCACUUUAAGCCCAUAUUGGCCCAAUCGCUCUAGCUUUCCAGUCGGCCGAUCUCCAACUCCGUCCUCCAAAACACUGUAGCGCUAAUCGACCAAUCCCCAACUAUAGCACCAAUCGGCUGAUUCCCAAUCGUGACCUUUUAAUCUGCCGCAUCGGCCAGUCCUUUCCUUCCUUGACACCGAUUCCAUACGUGUCAAAAUCUAGCGUCAACACAUGCCCCCCAAUUUUGGAGUAAAACAUAACUUUUACUUCGAAAUUCCUUUUUAACUCCUCCUCCGAAACAAACGCAUCAAAAAUAUGCUUCCAUUUGGCAGUCUCCUACCUGAUGAUUUCAAUCUUUUCGAAACAGGCGCCUGAGACAACCAUUCCCUCGAAAUUCGCAUAGACGGCGCGGUAAAAAUCCCGCCUUUACCCCUUCUCGGACCGUCUUUAAAUACUGGCACGCCCCGCACUUCUUCUUCACAAGCCAGUAACUUCCUUCUUGGUGCACUAGUUUCCAUCUUCUUCUGGCGCCCUCUCGGCUUCCAACCACGUCUUACGGCGACCCCUUUUCAUCCGCAUUUUGCUCCAUCUUCCCAAUGGCGGCACCGUCAUCAACCUCACUAGCAACGAAAACUCCGGCGGCAGCUCCAACUGAAGCGGCAGCAGCUCCAUCGGUGACAGAGGUUCCACCGACGGCCUCGGCGGCGGUAGCUCCACUAGCAGCCCCGUCGGCGACGAUGACUUUCAUCCCGGAGGUAUUCACCUGGAACUUUUCUUUUUACCUUUACCACCCAGGCAUUUGUUUUAGAUCCAUUCUUAGUUUCUUCCCUUUUUACCUUUUUUUAGGCGGUUAGACACCAAAUCACCAUUCGCCUUUCCGAAGCUCCUGGUCUCAUCUGUCUAGGUCCUAUGGGAAACUCAGACCCAACCGACCUAAUCAACUUGGAAACCCAUAGGAUUCCAUUUAAGUAGUCGACUAUGGACUUGGAUCAUUGGUCAGGCACUUUCAGAUCUUGGCCGAAUGAAACUCCCAGUUGGAAAGAAUGGUACCAAAGAAUGGCCAACUCUAAGAGAGUUCAAUGGGACGAGCAAAAAAUCGACCAGUGCAUCAAUCUCUCUCUAUCUCAGAUGGAGAGGUAUGAACCCUUGGUGAUAGCAGCCUCCUAUUUUUGGUCCGAUGCUCUCAACAUGUUUCUUUUCGGACACGGGCCCAUGACCCCCACUCUGGGCGAUGUUGUGAUGUUGACUAGCCUUGACAUCUCUUCCCCCGAUACCCCCUUCCAUUAUUUGGUAAGGCCGACCCAUCGGCUGGAGACAAAAGGAAUCGGCAGGUGGAAGGGGUUCAUAAAAAAUAACAUGAAGACCGGGACAGUUUCAGAGAGAGAAUAUGCGGCCUUCUUGAUGAUGUGGCUGGAGAAACACCUUUUCUGCGGGCCGAGCAGCCGGCCCUUCUUCCAAUACACAAGCUCUAGCCGAAGCACUAUCAAUAGGAGCCGGUGUCCCUCUCGGGAAGCAUCUGCUAGGAUCGGUCUAUCAUAUGUUGCACCAAAUCGGCGUCAAAUUAUCAAAGGGAGAGCCGAUUGGAAAUCCAGAUGGCCCCUGGUGGUUCAUCAAUCUCUGGCUCAAUUUAUAUAUGAGCAAGAUCUCACAGCAACGGGUAGAGCACAUGACAUUCCCCAAUAUUGAAUCAGAAGAAAACCCCACCAUACGGCGCCGACGCACCUCGUUUGGCGAAGCAGCGUCAAUCUUCUCUAGUUGCCAGCUCACCGCCACCAAAGUAGCCGAAUACUUCAGAUGCUUUUACAACAGCUUUAGUGAAGAAACCACCAGCUGGUACUCGUAUCAGAGAUCAGAACCACUUUUCGAGCUCCCCUUCUGUUAUGACUCGACGACCAAUACCUUUGACAAUGAUCUCACAGAUGUCUUGAUCAAGCCAGGGAUCUUACCGGCGAACUUUUUCUCAGGGAGGAUGCCCCUACUUACGAGUUUUACAAUCCAUCCGUUGCGGCAUGGCAGUUCGGCCUAGGUCAGCUGCCAAUUUAUGUUUUCUUUGCCGGUCGUGCAAAAUUCCGAGAUGAGCUCACCAAAGGUCUCGAUUAUAGUCGGCUGUGCGACCGAGUGCCUGACUCAAACUGUGGUUGGCAGAAUCGAAACAGCAUCUCUUUUGUGCAUCCCCUGUGAUAUACUGCAACAUCAUGGAUCCCGACAACAUUGACCCGAAUGCAGAGGUACCGUUCUUCCAUUAGCCGAUUUCGAUGCCAUUUUUAUACUACUAACUCUUAUUUCUUUUACAGUCCGAGAGCCAACUCCCUCCAAGGCGCAGCCGGAGUGGCAGGCCGAUAGAGAACUGUUACCUGUAAAUGAAAUUUCCACUCAUCGGCCAUCAUGCCCCAUCCAUUGAUGACAUCACCACUGGCCGAUUAAAGCAGACACCGAAGAAAACCUUAAAGAAAACAAGCCAUCGAGUGCGCGCCCGGAUGGAAUCGGCCGUUCAGUCUGCGGCGGCAUCGGCGGAAACUUUGGCUGCGCCGAUUCUCCCGAUCAUCGAGGAGGUUUAUCCCCAAGCUACUACAGAAGCUGGAGCGGCCGCUGCAUCACUGCUAUUAGAAGCCAUUCAGGUAACCUUGUGUUCAUAUCCUCCUGAGUAUUCUCCCGAUACUGACUUCUCCUUCACAUUAGGCCGCACAAGAUGCUCCGGUGACUCCGCAGCAAUCGACGACGCCCCAAGCAGAAAUUGGAGCACCAGUAAUUCCUUCCACUGAGGUAAAGAAUCCCUUCACUUAAUUUUUUGAUACUUAAUCAAAAGCUUGACCGAUUCUGAUGUAGGCUACCCUUGGUAUGUCAAUUGUACAUUCUCAACAGCCAUCGGCCAGGGAAACCACGGAGGUACAACAAUCACCACAUGUCAUCAGAUCUAACCAUUUGCAUUAUACUCAUAAGAACUUGCUCCUCGUACCUUUCCAGGAGGCCGGUCCAAGCAGGACACCAAUAAUCGUCGAAUCCUCCUCCUCCGAUGAGCUGGUCGCAGGAGUCCCUGAAUCAAGUUCAGCACUCCCAUCGACGCAAAUAGAAGAAUCAAUAAUUGAAUGCCUUUUAGGACAGCUCAGUAUUCCGCUUGAUUAUUGGUCGCAGAAGCUUCUAUCGGUAGAGAGAAAUCAUAACUUGCCCCCUGAGGUGAUAUGAGAACAAUGUCGAUUCUUGAUCCGGCGUCACAUGACGAACCAUCAAAGUAUAGAGUCCAUGGAGCCGGCUCAACGACAGCGAUUUCUGGUCCGCAGUGCUGGGCCACGAAAUUGGCCAUGACUUGACCCUUGACAGCUUUGGCCGAUUCGUAUCUUAGGUCAAACUCUGACAGAGCCAAGAUCCAUUUUCCAAUUUGUCCUUUCAAAAUCGGCAAUGAUAGCAUGUACUUUACCACAUCAUCUUUGCAUACGACUACGCACUCUGCCGACAAAAGAUAGUGCCUGACCUUGGUGCAUGAGAAAUAAAGACAUAGGUAUAGCCGUUCUACCGGCGCAUAUCUUGUCUCGGCGUCCAGAAGUCUUCUGCUAACAUAAUAUAUCACCUGUUCCUUCCCUUCGAACUCCUGUACCAGCGCCGAUCCGAGAGCCCAUUCAUCGGCCGAUAAAUACAGUCUGAACGGUUUGUCAGCUUGUGGUGGGACCAAUACAAGUGGCGAGAUCAGAUAUUGCUUGAUGUCUUCCAGUGCUUUCCACUGCUCCUCUCCCCACACAAAUUCUUGGUCGGGCUUUAAUUUCAAUAACGGCGUGAAGGCUUGAAUACGUCCGGACAAGUUGGAUAUGAAUCUUCUGAUAAAGUUAACUUUGCCGAUUAGGGAUUGCAACUCAGUUUUGUUCUGUGGGGCUACAACCUUAUUGAUGGCCGCUAUGAUUUUUCCGUUGACUUCUAUCCCACGCUCGUGAACCAUGAAUCCCAGAAACUGCCCGGACGAUACACCGAAUGCACACUUGUUCGGGUUCAUUUUCAACUCAUGCUUCCUUGUGCACUCCAAUACUUCUCAUAGAUCGGCCAGAUGCUCUUGAUGCCCUUUUGAUUUGACUACGACAUCGUCGAUGUAGAUUUCCACCAGGACGCCAAUAAGUUUGUGGAAGAUGUAAUUCAUAGCUUGUUGGUAUGUAGCGCCAGCAUUCUCCGAAGGUCAUUACUACCCACUCGAAUAAACCGAGGUGGCCCGGACACCUGAAGGCCGUUUUCGAGAUGUCUUCUUCGACCAUUAAUAUUUGAUUGUACCCAGCAUUACCGUCCAUAAAACUAAUGACUUUAUGUCCUGCGGCGGCAUCUAUCAAUACAUCGGCUGUCGACAUUGGAUACCCAUCCAUCAGGGUAGCCUGAUUAAGGUUCCCAAAGUCAAUGCAUACACGCAGCUUUCUGUUCUUCUUAUAUACAGGUACAAUAUUAGAGAUCCACUCGGCGUAACGGCACUGCCGAAUAAAUUUCGCUUCAAUCAAUCUCGUAAUUUCGGCCUUUAUAUCAGGUAGAAUUUUAGGAUUGCAUCAUCGUGCGGGCUGCUGAUACGGCCGAUAUCCUGAUUUUAUGGGCAAUCGGUGUUCAACAAUGGACCGGUCUAGGCCAGGCAUCUCAUGGUAUUCCCAAGCAAAACAAUCUUUAAAUUCCUUUAAUAAGUUUGUCAAUUUACACUUAUAUUCUGGAUCCAAGUUAGCACUAAUGUACGUCGGCCUCGGUUUGGUGCCAUCACCUAGAUCUAUCAUCUCUAAUGAAUCGGCCGACGUAAACCUAAGCCCCAGCUUUCCAUCUUCUCGGACGAACUAAUCCAUCUAAUCUGAAUCUUCAGAGCCGACUGCUCGGAUCGGCUGUAGGCCAAAAUUGGACACUUUUAGGAAAUCGGUGUCCCAAGUUCUCCCGGAUAUGCACUUGACAUGUUCGCAGCUCCACUACUGCGUAUUGGCCGUAGCAACACUGUAGGCGGAAUCUGCGGUGACUAUCUCGAUGUUGUCGCCGACCCAUUGUACGAGGCAUUGGUGCAUUGUAGAUGGGACACAGCAAUUCGCGUGUAUCCAAUCGCGUCCGAGCAACAUGUUGUGGGACCCUUUGCCAUUAAUAAUAAAUAAAGUAGUGGGAAGGGUCUUACUGCCGAUGGUGAGGUCGACGCAGAGCGCUCCGCGCACGGAAGACACGUUGCCCUCGAAGUUCUUGGGCAUCAUGUCCAUCUUGGUUAGAUCCUCAUCGCUUUUACCCAGCUUUUGGAACAUGGCGUACGGCAUGAUGUUGACUACAGCGCCUCCAUCUACUAGUAGCCUGGUGACGGUCGACCGUUGACGUGCCCUUUGAGGAAUAGUGCCUUGAGGUGUUGUCAUUUUUCAUCUUCGGGUUUCUCAAAAGUGGCUGUCAUCAGCUCCAAAGCCAAUUGCGCCAUCUGUUCCUCCAUCUUCGUCAUGUCAUACCAAUCAGCGGGAGCCAUGAACUCCAUCGGCAAGAUGAACACCAUGCUGACGUCAGCUGCCGAUUCCUGGUUGCCAUCUUCCUCAUUGUUGUUUCUUUUGGGGCGCCAGACUUGAGACCUGUCAUCCUUCUUAUCCACCAUCUGCCUCUGCUUUUCUUCCUGUUGUUCCCAUUGGCGCAGGCAUUGGAUUCUUCAUUUUUGGGAUUUGGUCAAUCCAUCAGGGCACCACCUGAGGUUCAACGGUUUGGCCGGCGGUCUGGCGUGUUCCCAGUCUGGUUCCCAUCCCAGGGGAUUUUCAUCUGAUACCCAAGCAUUGGCCAUCUCUUCUAGCCGAUCGUGUGCGCUGACUCUGCCUCCUGGUCGGUCGUGCUGGUCAGAUCUGCCCCCCGGCCUAUCAUAUUGCUCGUGUAUGUCCCUUGGCCGAUCAUAUCGGUCAACUCUGCCCCCCAGCUGAUCACGCACUGAAAGGCGCCGAUCCUCUUGCUCGCGCUAGUUUCUACUGAUUGGCUCUGAUCCUCUAUCCUUGUAGCGAGACCUCUUGAACGGGCGAUUAUUGCGAUAUGGACCACUGCACUCCGGGCAAUUAUCGGCUGAUGGCAACCUGAGGUUACUUUCCCAGCAAUGGAUGAAGAACGGGCAUCGCCAAUGAUCUUCGUGUCAUCAUAUUAUUUCUUCGCAAUAUCUCGAAAUUUCCUGCUGCCGUUGAUAUUUAUCAAGCAAAAAUUGGGAAGUAAUAGGUCUGCGAUGCCUUUCCAAUCCUUCACCCUUAUCGUCAACCUGUCGCUUCCCUGUGACAUCUUCCACAGUAGCCUGAUUUUUGGGGUCCACAAUGCCACUCCUUUUAGCCGAUUCUGACGUCAGCACCUUGGUUUGAAGCGCGUUUCUUCCCGUAUCAACCAUGUUAGUGGGAAAAGGAUGCUGAUCAAUCUUCAUUGGCUUUGCUGGCUUUGUCGGGACCUCGAACUUGAGCCUACCUUGCUCGAUGGCCGAUUGUAUCUGCUGACGGAAGAUUUUGCACUCGUUCGUGUCGUGGGACAUGGCAUUGUGCCAUUUGCAAUACUUCAUCUUUUUUAGCUGCUCGGCCGAUGGGAUCAUAUGAUAGGGUGAGAGUUUGAUCUGCCCCUCUUGGAGAAGUAGGUCGAAAAUUUUGUUGGCGUUUGACGUGUCAAAACCGAACGCCUCCGGUUCCUUUUUCCCGAAAGGACACGAUAACGGUUUUUUUCCUUUAACCCACUCUGCUAGGCCGAUUUCUGCUUCCUCCUCACAUUCAGAUCCCUCUAAGUACGCCACCUUCUUCUGAAAAUUUCUUUGCUGAUCAAAGGGGCGUACUUCUUGACCGGACAAUCGAUGGACGAUCUGACUCAGACUCUCGAACGCCUGGGAAGCGUAUUUUUCCUUGAUAUGUGGCAGGAGGCCUUGGAAGGCGAUGUUGGCCAGCUGCGCAUCGGUCAGGACCAGGGUGUAGCAUUUGUUUCUGACUUCCUUGAACCUUUGCACCUAAUUGGUCACGGGUUCGUCGCUCCUUUGCCUGAGGCUGGUUAAAUCUGAGAGCUUCAUCUCAUGGACUCCCGCGUAGAAGUAUUUAUGGAACUACUUUUCCAGGUUGGCCCAAGUAACUAUGGAAUUGGGCGGUAGCGUAGUGAACCACUAGAAAGCCGACCCAGACAGGGACGAUGAGAACAGAUGCACCCGCAGAGCAUCUUGUGUAGCCGCCUCCCCACAUUGGAUGAUGAAUCUAUUUACGUGCUCCACAGCUGAGGUGUCAUCUAGCCCUGAAAACUUGGUGAAGUCGGGAACUUUGUACCGAUGGGGAAACGGCAGUAGAUCAUAGGUAGGCGGGUAUGGCGUUUUGUACGUGUAAGUUUGUACCUUCAGCUUCAACCCGAACUAAUCUUGAAUCACCUCCGCUAUCCUUGCCGUCCAGUCCACUUGCUGCUGAUGGAUUACCAGCUGGGGAAUUGGCACAUGUUGGUGGAUCAGCGGCGGGAUGGCCGGGUGAUGAAUGAAAGUGUGCGGCGGAUUCUGUGGUAACGUGGCCGGCUGAGCGGUUGACAUUUGGUGGCGCAGCGAACCGGCCGUCUCAUCGUAUAGUAUCAUCGGUCCCGCACCUUGGAGCGCCUCAGCAGCGUCUGCCCCCCCUGCCGAUUACUGACGUGGCAGGUUGAUACUGUGGAGGAGUCGGCCGAAUGGCCGAUUGGAAUGGUGCCUGGAUCGGGGGGCCUCCAUAGCCGGUCGAUUGAUCUAGAACGGCCACUGUCGACGGUGCCCCCCAAGGCACUGAAUUUGAUGGCAAUGAUUGUGCGAAGGAAAUCUGAGCAGGUUGAGGUGGCACUUGUGACUAAAAGUAUGGCGCACCGUUAUAUCCUGGAUGCAUUGAAGGCAGUGAAGCAUUGUGCCCUCCAUGUUGAGUUGGCAUCGGCUGAGGAGCCGAGUGAGAUGUGCUGGCCCUGAUAUCCUUGGGAUACGCCAUUGGCUAGGGAGCUGAUAACGACAUUGUAUACCGUGUUGGCCAUCACUGGGGAUUGAUCAAUGAAAGCCUGGUAGACGGACUGCUGAACCAUAUCGGACAUCUUGCCCGAGUCCUCGGCGAUGGUAAUUUGCUGGGGAUUUGGGAAAGGAGCUUUCUUGAUGGUCUCCCCACUCCUGGUACGACUGAAAGAUUGCAGGCAUGUUUUCCGGUAUUGUUCUAUCUGCUUUACCAACUCUUCUUUCUGGUCAUCCUUGAGAUCUGCUUCUGUCACUUCGAUGACAUUGUCCUUGGAGAUUUCGGCAGCUUUCGACAUGUUGGAGGUCGAAGUGGCCCCACCGAGCGUGCUAAAAGUGUGUUGGCGCUAAAAGUCAGCCGAUUGACCUUCAGCGUCGGACACACGACCCGGGAGAAUCUGCUUAGCUCCUGUUCGCAUGGCGUGCCAGCCAAUCUGACCUGUUGAUUGGCAAGGAAGGAAACGUGUCAAAUUCCAGGGGUUCCGAUCGGCUAAGGUUCGGAUCUCAAAAAGCGUAUCAGCAAAUCGGCCGAUUUGCUAUAAAAAGAUAAUUAGCUAUAAUACAGCCGACAAUCAUAUAGCGAUUGUAAAGAAAACUACUAAAGUAAACUAGACAAAGCUACGAAAGCAAUACUUGAAAUAGAUCUAAUCGGCUAUAUGACAAUGGGAAUGAAAAUAACAACAACAAAGCUGACAGUUCAAAUCUCAAGCUGGAUAACUGAAGAUAAAACUAGAACAGAUAAAACCUAUAAUUCUAGUAAAUAUCGAUAACUGGUGAAUAAAUCUAAAUGAAACGACAGCGAUGCGCCCGAAGUUAAAGCUUAGAUAUUACUCGAUAAGCGGAACUUACGAAAUCGGCCGGAGAUCGUGUCGAUGCAGCCCUGCCAACCCGUACGAACUCGUGAAAGAAAAGUAUUGGCGAAGUCGUCGACUUGAAAGUAAAGUGUGAUGAAAAAGUAGAUUUGUUUGUAUUGAUUGAUGUGUUCUUUACAAAUCUCUAAAGGCCACUAUUUAUAGCCAAUUACAACCAAUUUCCUAACCGACUAGGAUAUAUUUCUAAUCUUAAACGAAAAUGAAUAUUUACAAUCACAACUCGAACCGGAGUUGGUUAUUAUACUCUUGCGGGCCAAUCUUUCUUUAUCUUCUUCCUCUGAUCCACUUUAAGCCCAUAUUGGCCCAAUCGCUCCAGCCUUCCAGUCGGCCGAUCUCCAACUCCAUCC